This 400-nucleotide ribosomal RNA is filed under the name uncultured bacterium. RNAcentral describes it as "bacterial SSU rRNA". It matches the Rfam family "Bacterial small subunit ribosomal RNA", at positions 29 to 430 of the family's 1533-position model. The record is from RNAcentral.
AUUGAACGCUGGCGGCAUGCCUAACACAUGCAAGUCGAACGGUAACGCGGGGGCAACCCUGGCGACGAGUGGCGGACGGGUGAGUAAUACAUCGGAACGUGCCCAGUAGUGGGGGAUAGCCCGGCGAAAGCCGGAUUAAUACCGCAUACGACCUACGGGUGAAAGCGGGGGAUCGCAAGACCUCGCGCUAUUGGAGCGGCCGAUGUCAGAUUAGCUAGUUGGUGGGGUAAAAGCCUACCAAGGCGACGAUCUGUAGCUGGUCUGAGAGGACGACCAGCCACACUGGGACUGAGACACGGCCCAGACUCCUACGGGAGGCAGCAGUGGGGAAUUUUGGACAAUGGGGGCAACCCUGAUCCAGCCAUGCCGCGUGCGGGAAGAAGGCCUUCGGGUUGUAACC